GCCCAAGAGAUCGGGAUAACACCUGGAAACAGAUGCUAAUACCGGAUAACAACAGAUGAUGCCUAUCAACUGUUUAAAAGAUGGUUCUGCUAUCGCUCUUGGAUGGACCUGCGGUGCAUUAGCUAGUUGGUAGGGUAACGGCCUACCAAGGCGAUGAUGCAUAGCCGAGUUGAGAGACUGAUCGGCCACAUUGGGACUGAGACACGGCCCAAACUCCUACGGGAGGCAGCAGCC
RNAcentral lists this ribosomal RNA (234 nucleotides) under uncultured Lactobacillus sp. RNAcentral describes it as "partial 16S ribosomal RNA". It matches the Rfam family "Bacterial small subunit ribosomal RNA", at positions 128 to 355 of the family's 1533-position model. Lineage: Bacteria; Bacillati; Bacillota; Bacilli; Lactobacillales; Lactobacillaceae. The record is from RNAcentral.